GUGAAAACGACAUGAAUAAGAUAGACGAACUUGACAAUGGAGAACGUCGAUUCAUCUUACAAAAGUACAACGAACAUCCAGAAUAUCCUUUUCACGAAGAAUUUUGAAGCGAGGAUUCCAAGACAACUCCUUGAAGAAAUAUUAAAUGUGUUUUGAAUCAGGACCAAGACGUUUAGUGUUUCCUUCCAAGAAGAAAGUGCAAGUGCUUCUUUUGUUAACUCAAAAAUAUAUCCCAUUAAGACGUUACUAUAUUAUGGUGGCACGAUCAUACAGUGUGUUCCAAUUCAUAUUCCCACUUUGCACACCAUUAUCUUUUUCCCUAUGCAUAACUAGGAAAAACCAUUACAAACUGUCAAUUGCAUUUGAGAGAACAUAAUAAUAUUAUAUUCAUCGUUUGUUUUUAUCAGAGCACAAAACGUUAUGACAUCUUGAUUGCUUUUCAUGAUGUCAUUGCUGACAUCAAUAAAAUCAUCAAAAUCUG
Long non-coding RNA from Pecten maximus, 481 nucleotides. RefSeq lists it as uncharacterized. Lineage: Eukaryota; Metazoa; Mollusca; Bivalvia; Pectinida; Pectinidae. The record is from RefSeq and is a predicted model, not a curated record. The transcript has 2 exons.